GGAUCUCUGCUUCUUUGUCUUGUAGGCAAGUCUGUGGAGACAGUCUGGUCCAUGGAUACUGGCCUCCUGGUAAGCCUCUUCAGGGUCCCAGCCAUUGCAGCCUGUUCCUACAGGAAGAGGAGUGAGCAAAGGAAGACUUCACAGCACCACCACUCCGCUUACACGUGGCUCUGGGCCUCUGAUCCAGUAGAGCUAGCUCAAGCUACAGACAGGAGGAGUUCCCCACCAGUAAGAGGCCUGCAGCUUUGCAUAUCUGCUGGUGGCCAACGCGCGCACGUGGUCCCAGUUGGAGGUGAGGUCCUCUUUCAUCUGCUGGAUCUGAGCUGCAUGGAUCCUUCCAAAACAGCAAAGGACACACUGUGUCGGGUUGAAUGAACCUGCCCAUGGUAGACCAGAGGACUGACUGCAUGAUGGCCCACAAGGCCUUCAUCGUAAGAGCUCAGGUAUGACCCUUGAUUUUGCUUGCACCUCUGCUUCAAAGGACUCAUGCUUCUGAUAUUUUCCCUGCAGAGCGGAAAUCAAAGUGUCAUCUGCAUCCCGUCUAAAAACCUGGUAGUGGUAGGAUUCUUCUAGCUUCUGUCCCCUCUCAGCAACCAGCUCUUUGAACCUCUG
Molecule: long non-coding RNA, 612 nt
Organism: Condylura cristata (star-nosed mole)
Lineage: Eukaryota; Metazoa; Chordata; Mammalia; Eulipotyphla; Talpidae
Exons: 6
Source: RefSeq, a predicted model, not a curated record